CUACGUAGGUGACAAGCGUUAUCCGGAUUUACUGGGCGUAAAGGGCGUGUAGGCGGUCUUGCAAGUCAGAAGUGAAAUUCCUGAGCUCAACUCGGGCGCUGCUUCUGAAACUGCAGGACUUGAGUGCUGGAGGGGAUAGCGGAAUUCCUAGUGGAGCGGUAAAAUGCGCAGAUAUUAGGAAGAACACCGGUGGCGAAGGCGGCUAUCUGGACAGUAACUGACGCUGAGGCGCGAAAGCGUGGGGAGCAAACAGGAUUAGAUCCCCUGGUAGUCCACGCCGUAAACGAUGAAUACUAGGUGUAGGGGGUAUCGACUCCCUCUGUGCCGCAGUUAACACAAUAAGUAUUCCGCCUGGGGAGUACGGCCGCAAGGUUGAAACUCAAAUGAAUUGGCGGGG
This 397-nucleotide ribosomal RNA is filed under the name uncultured bacterium. Its description in RNAcentral is "partial 16S ribosomal RNA". It matches the Rfam family "Bacterial small subunit ribosomal RNA", at positions 523 to 918 of the family's 1533-position model. The record is from RNAcentral.